CCUACGGGUCGCAGCAGUGAGGAAUAUUGGUCAAUGGGCGCGAGCCUGAACCAGCCAAGUCGCGUGAGGGAAGACGGUCCUAUGGAUUGUAAACCUCUUUUGUGGGGGGACAAAAGACGCCACGCGUGGCGUUCCGAGAGUACCGGAAGAAAAAGCAUCGGCUAACUCCGUGCCAGCAGCCGCGGUAAUACGGAAGAUGCGAGCGUUAUCCGGAUUUAUUGGGUUUAAAGGGUGCGAAGGCGGAAGAGCAAGCCCGCGGGAAAAUUGCGGGGCUCAACCUCUUCGAGCCGUUGAAACUGGCUAUAGUGAGUGAGCGUGACGUAUGCGGAAUGCGUGGUGUAGCGGUGAAAUGCAUAGAGAUCACGCAGAACUCCGAUUGCGAAGGCAGCAUACCGGCGCUCUACUGACGCUCAUGCACGAAAGUGUGGGUAUCGAACAGGAUUAGAUACCCCGGUAGUG
This 459-nucleotide ribosomal RNA is filed under the name uncultured bacterium. RNAcentral describes it as "partial 16S ribosomal RNA". It matches the Rfam family "Bacterial small subunit ribosomal RNA", at positions 338 to 795 of the family's 1533-position model. The record is from RNAcentral.